GACGAACGCUGGCGGCGUGCUUAACACAUGCAAGUCGAACGGAAAGGCCCUGCCUUUGUGGGGUGCUCGAGUGGCGAACGGGUGAGUAACACGUGAGUAACCUGCCCUUGACUUUGGGAUAACUUCAGGAAACUGGGGCUAAUACCGGAUAGGAGCUCCUGCUGCAUGGUGGGGGUUGGAAAGUUUCGGCGGUUGGGGAUGGACUCGCGGCUUAUCAGCUUGUUGGUGGGGUAGUGGCUUACCAAGGCUUUGACGGGUAGCCGGCCUGAGAGGGUGACCGGCCACAUUGGGGCUGAGAUACGGCCCAGACUCCUACGGGAGGCAGCAGUGGGGAAUAUUGCACAAUGGGCGGAAGCCUGAUGCAGCAACGCCGCGUGCGGGAUGACGGCCUUCGGGUUGUAAACCGCUUUCGCCUGUGACGAAGCGUGAGUGACGGUAAUGGGUAAAGAAGCACCGGCUAACUACGUG
Molecule: ribosomal RNA, 468 nt
Filed under: uncultured bacterium
Lineage: Bacteria
Description: partial 16S ribosomal RNA
Rfam family: Bacterial small subunit ribosomal RNA
Source: RNAcentral